Molecule: ribosomal RNA, 253 nt
Filed under: uncultured bacterium
Lineage: Bacteria
Description: partial 16S ribosomal RNA
Rfam family: Bacterial small subunit ribosomal RNA
Source: RNAcentral
UACGAAGGGGGCUAGCGUUACUCGGAUUGACUGGGCGUAAAGGGCGCGUAGGCGGUUUGUACAGUCAGACGUGAAAUUCCUGGGCUCAACCUGGGGGCUGCGUUUGAUACGUGCGGACUUGAGUUCGGAAGAGGGUCGUGGAAUUCCCAGUGUAGAGGUGAAAUUCGUAGAUAUUGGGAAGAACACCGGUGGCGAAGGCGGCGACCUGGUCCGGUACUGACGCUGAGGUGCGAAAGCGUGGGGAGCAAACAGG